GAAGUUAGUGGCGCUGCUGGGACGGGGAGAAGAGACGCUUCUUCCUCCUGCUGUUCCUUGCCUUCCCGGGAUCAGCCGCGGCGGUGGCCGCGAGUGAUUCGGCAGCGUCUCCGGCUCCGCGUGAGAACCAUGCUGACGGACAGUGGGGGCGGCGGCACCUCCUUUGAGGAGGAUUUGGACUCCGUAGCUCCGCGAUCCGCCCCAGCUGGGGCCUCGGAGCCGCCUCCGCCGGGAGGGGUCGGGCUGGGAAUCCGCACCGUGAGGCUUUUUGGGGAGGCUGGGCCCGCGCCGGGAGUCGGUGGCGGCGGCAGCGCGGGCGGAGGGGACGCAGCGCUGGAUUUCAAGUUGGCGGCUGCCGUGCUGAGGACGGGCGGCGGAGGUGGUGCCUCUGGAAGCGACGAGGACGAGGUGUCCGAGGUAUAGCUCCAGGACCCUUGUCUCUAACGUUGCGUGAGACGUGAAUUCUUUGGACCAGCACACGGCUGGUUCACCCUCCCGCUUCCUGGGUGCAAUGUUCUCUGACAGCAGUUGCUUGCAAGGCGACGGUGGCAGCAGUGCGGGCCUAGUGAGCUCUCGGCUUGCUCUUCGGCGCGCGUCAGGAGCGGGACGGAUUCCCGUCACCGUCUGUAGACCCACAAUAGGGAGUUCUUUGGUCUGCGAGCUUCGCGCGGGAACCCAGACUCCGCAGGCUACCUCCCGCCCACCCCGUGUUGGAGAUGGGGGAGGGCGGGGUCUUGUUAGCCAAAGUCCCUGCCCUUGGUACUGAGGGAGCCUGAGAAACUGGCGGACAUGGCUAGCUCAAAAAGGCUGUCUGCUGUUCGCCUCUGCUUUAAGUGUGGCUUUGCCUGUGCAUUUAAGUAGAGCAGUUCUUAUUUUCUUUUAGUUUGAAGCAGAUGAGUAUUAAGUUCUCAGCUUUUACUCCGAAAAAUCACGUGACCGAUUCUUGGACGUUUUAUGAAGUUAGACAGGAAAAGGAAGUUCCAAGGCAUCUUUGAGCUUCGGAAUAACUGGAUAGUUGAACGCUGAGGUUUUUAGCCUUUGAGAUGAGGCAUCCUGCAGACUCCUUUUCUUGUGAAGAAAAUGCGCUGAGCUCCUGCAUUUCUUUUAGCACGUGUGUAUAAUACUGGGUGCACAUUUCAGGUGUGAGCAAUUUAGGACGGUAGGUACUGUUCUUUAGUCUCUUGAAGAAAAGUUGACACAAACACACAUAGUUGUAGAUAUUUGCACACAUACUUGCAAACAUAUGCAUUUACAAGUUAAAUAUUAUUUUCUUUAACAAUGGUCAGGACAGAGAAUUGUACUGUGAUGUUUUAAGUGCUUGGAAUUCUGUUCCUUUUUAAUUUGGCUAUGAUUUGUUGACUUUUAAUUGUUGAGAUUUAGUCUGAGUUGCUGUGUAGAUCAGGGUGGCUGAACUUUUUGUGAUCCUCCUACCUGUAUUUCCUUAGUGCUGGAUUACAGACGUGCACCACCACGGCCUAGCUAACUAUUUCUUCUACAUUGGUCCUAGCAUUUCUGGUUCAUCCCUUGUGACUUUAACCUCUGGUCCUGGUGUUAAAGUACAGGAAUUUCUGUGUACCAAUGAUCUUGGCUUGUGUAUUUGAGAGGAAUAAGGAGAAAUUAUUGCAGAGUACAGUUACAGCACUGUUUUUUCUAGUUCUGAAGAGGAGGUUUUUUUGGAUUCAAUAUUUUACUUUGGGAAAAAAAAAAAACUGUGCAUGUUACCUAUCCACAUUUUUGAAUUUCCCUGUAAAAAAAAAAUAAAUUCUAGGCCAAGAUGAGAGAAGAAUUUU
Molecule: long non-coding RNA, 1790 nt
Filed under: Rattus norvegicus (Norway rat)
Lineage: Eukaryota; Metazoa; Chordata; Mammalia; Rodentia; Muridae
Description: long non-coding RNA NONRATT013357
Source: RNAcentral